UACGUAGGGGGCAAGCGUUGUCCGGAAUUAUUGGGCGUAAAGAGCGUGUAGGCGGCCAGAUAAGUCCGCUGUGAAAUCUCGAGGCUCAACUUCGAGCUGUCGGUGGAAACUAUCUGGCUAGAGUCCGGAAGAGGAGAAUGGAAUUCCUGGUGUAGCGGUGAAAUGCGCAGAUAUCAGGAAGAACACCCGUGGCGAAGGCGGUUCUCUGGGACGGUACUGACGCUGAGACGCGAAAAGCGUGGGGGGAGCGAACAGG
RNAcentral lists this ribosomal RNA (256 nucleotides) under uncultured bacterium. Its description in RNAcentral is "partial 16S ribosomal RNA". It matches the Rfam family "Bacterial small subunit ribosomal RNA", at positions 524 to 776 of the family's 1533-position model. The record is from RNAcentral.